RNAcentral lists this transfer RNA (57 nucleotides) under Bos taurus (domestic cattle). It matches the Rfam family "tRNA", at positions 8 to 63 of the family's 71-position model. From Rfam's summary of the family: Transfer RNA (tRNA) molecules are approximately 80 nucleotides in length. Their secondary structure includes four short double-helical elements and three loops (D, anti-codon, and T loops). Further hydrogen bonds mediate the characteristic L-shaped molecular structure. tRNAs have two regions of fundamental functional importance: the anti-codon, which is responsible for specific mRNA codon recognition, and the 3' end, to which the tRNAs corresponding amino acid is attached (by aminoacyl-tRNA synthetases). tRNAs cope with the degeneracy of the genetic code in two manners: having more than one tRNA (with a specific anti-codon) for a particular amino acid; and 'wobble' base-pairing, i.e. permitting non-standard base-pairing at the 3rd anti-codon position. Lineage: Eukaryota; Metazoa; Chordata; Mammalia; Artiodactyla; Bovidae. The record is from Rfam by way of RNAcentral. RNAcentral also lists the same sequence under 3 other names.
UAGCUUAGUUGGUAAAGAAUCUGCCUGCAAUGCAGGAGACCCAGGUUCAAUUCCUGG